CUCCUGAUGACAUCAUCAAGCUGAGUCCGUCUGCUCUCUUUCCUGUUGAUGAAAGGACUUUACUUUUGUCUUUUGUUUCAACAACAAAUGGGUCAAGGGCAUCUCCAA
Pseudonaja textilis is the source of this 108-nucleotide non-coding RNA. NCBI's taxonomy places the organism in Eukaryota, Metazoa, Chordata, Lepidosauria, Squamata, Elapidae. The record is from RefSeq and is a predicted model, not a curated record.